AUGGCUUCAAACAUAAUUCUAAAUAUUUUGAUGGCUUACAAAUUCUUAUUGGUUAGAGAAAUUCUUUUUAAUUCUCUAUCCUGAAAUUGAAUCACUGGACCCUGCAUCCCGAACUCCCAGCGCAGGAGGCCUGGCGGCAACCUGGGCGCUAGACGGGGUCAGGAACAACUCCUGUGAGAGCUCAGUCCGGGGCUCCAAAAUGCUCGCCAGGAGGAAGAAUAACUUGGGGGAUGGGCUGAGCAAACUGAGGCUCAGGCUGCCCUAACCGGAGGGAUGGCGGAGAGAGCGCUCCAGGAAUUCGAGUCUGAUAAAAAGUGUUUGAACGAGAGUGCAGGCCAGAGGCACCUCCUUAAGGAAUCUUGGAUCCACCCCAGCGGGCCUGUGCCUCUCCUCUAAGACCUGCCACUCCCAUUUCCCAAGGCCACCGCCCUCGCCCGCUCCUGCGGCCGCCUGGAAAACGCCACCUCUGAGACCCCAUCGCAAUGCCUCCCUCUCAGCUACCCAUUUCAAGAGAGAAGAGCACGCACACACAUUUCACUGAGGGCCAGACCGAGGCUCAGCUGGACGCCCUACAGGCCUGACUCAGCGCCCUCAACUAUGGGUCCUGAGGCCACCGCAGCGGUCUGCAGGGAGCCACUCUGCGCUCCAGGCCCCCGACAGGCAGCGAGGUCAGCCAAUGGCAAUGCAGCGGAGGGCGGGCUUUGGGAUGCCGCAGGCAUUUGAUAGGCUCUACCUCACCCCCGGCGUUUAGCAGUGAGAGGACCGCGGACUUCCAGACUCCGAGAAGCGGCUGACAGACCAAGAGCUGCGCACGAAAUAAAACUCAAGUAUGAAGAUAUUUAAUAGUCAAGCAACGGGAUCAAUAUAAACCUACAAACACUGAGCAGUGGAGCCAGCGUUGAGAUGCCAUGGACAGUGACAGUCACCUCUGGCCCUCCCUGGUGGCUCCCUUGAAGAGGUCAUGUGAGCCCACAGUGAGAUGGCAGUCACCUAUGAGCCAAGAGAAGAGGUCUCAGAAUGAAACCAACCCUGACAGCACCUUGACCUUGGACUUCCAGCCUCCAGAACUGUGUUAUUUUGAAUCUCUCUUCACUUUCUUUGAAAAUUAACAAUACAUCGUUGUUUGUGAGCAUUGCACUGAAACCCCAAGGCACACAUCACUCUCUCGAUCAUGGACAUCACCAGCAGUGACGCCACAGCUUGCAUCAUGGCUAUGCAGGAUAUAUAUAUAAAGAGAGAGAGCUGAUGGAAGAGAAAAAGAGGAUAAAGCAAAUGUGGCAAAAUGUUAACAAGCGAGGAAUCUGGAUGAAAGAUUAGCCCUAAGCUAUCGUCCGUGCCCAUCUUCCUCUACUUUAUAUGUGGGACGCCUGCCAAAGGAUGGCUUGACAAGCAGUGCAUGGGUCCACACCCAGGAUCCGAACUGGUGAACCCUGGGCCGAUGAAGUAGAACGUGCCAACUUAACCGUUGCGCCACUGGGAAGGCCCC
This 1486-nucleotide long non-coding RNA is filed under the name Equus caballus (horse). Its description in RNAcentral is "lncRNA (ENSECAG00000057163.1)". Lineage: Eukaryota; Metazoa; Chordata; Mammalia; Perissodactyla; Equidae. The record is from RNAcentral.